This 107-nucleotide small nucleolar RNA is filed under the name Oryza punctata. Its description in RNAcentral is "Plant small nucleolar RNA R71". It matches the Rfam family "Plant small nucleolar RNA R71". Rfam says of the family: R71 is a member of the C/D box family of snoRNAs containing the C (UGAUGA) and D (CUGA) box motifs. The record is from Rfam by way of RNAcentral. Lineage: Eukaryota; Viridiplantae; Streptophyta; Magnoliopsida; Poales; Poaceae.
AUCCCAUGAUAAGGACAGGCCGUGAUGUAUUCUUGCAGCCUUUCCCACGCUUCCAGGAUCGUCUCAUCUUUCGUUAGUUGGAAGCUGGAUAUUCUUCCAUGAAGGGC